This 75-nucleotide transfer RNA is filed under the name Amycolatopsis sp. Its description in RNAcentral is "tRNA-Val". It matches the Rfam family "tRNA". Rfam says of the family: Transfer RNA (tRNA) molecules are approximately 80 nucleotides in length. Their secondary structure includes four short double-helical elements and three loops (D, anti-codon, and T loops). Further hydrogen bonds mediate the characteristic L-shaped molecular structure. tRNAs have two regions of fundamental functional importance: the anti-codon, which is responsible for specific mRNA codon recognition, and the 3' end, to which the tRNAs corresponding amino acid is attached (by aminoacyl-tRNA synthetases). tRNAs cope with the degeneracy of the genetic code in two manners: having more than one tRNA (with a specific anti-codon) for a particular amino acid; and 'wobble' base-pairing, i.e. permitting non-standard base-pairing at the 3rd anti-codon position. RNAcentral also lists the same sequence under 72 other names. The record is from RNAcentral. Lineage: Bacteria; Bacillati; Actinomycetota; Actinomycetes; Pseudonocardiales; Pseudonocardiaceae.
GGGCGAUUAGCUCAGCGGGAGAGCGCUUCCCUGACACGGAAGAGGUCACUGGUUCAAUCCCAGUAUCGCCCACCA